This 711-nucleotide ribosomal RNA is filed under the name uncultured organism. RNAcentral's name for it is "bacterial SSU rRNA". It matches the Rfam family "Bacterial small subunit ribosomal RNA", at positions 758 to 1469 of the family's 1533-position model. The record is from RNAcentral.
AGCGUGGGGAGCGAACAGGAGUAGAUACCAUGGUAGUCUACGCUGUAAACGAUGGGUACUAGGUGUUGGUUGUAAUGAUCAGCGCCGGAGCAAACGCAUUAAGUACCCCGCCUGGGGAAUACGGUCGCAAGACUGAAACUCAAAGGAAUUGACGGGGGCCCGCACAAGCGGUGGAGCAUGUGGUUUAAUUCGAUGCAACGCGAAGAACCUUACCUGGGCUUGAACUGCAGGUGCUAUCUCCUGAAAGGGAGUUUCCUUCGGGACGCCUGUAGAGGUGCUGCAUGGCUGUCGUCAGCUCGUGCUGUGAGGUGUUGGGUUAAGUCCCGCAACGAGCGCAACCCCCGUCCCUAGUUGCCAUCAGGUCAAGCUGGGAACUCUAGGGGGACUGCCCCGGAUAACGGGGAGGAAGGUGGGGAUGACGUCAAGUCAUCAUGGCCCUUACGUCCAGGGCUACACACGUGCUACAAUGGCCGGUACAACGGGUAGCGAGACAGCGAUGUGGAGCAAAUCCCUUAAAACCGGUCUCAGUUCAGAUUGCAGUCUGCAACCCGACUGCAUGAAGUUGGAAUCGCUAGUAAUCGCGGAUCAGCAUGCCGCGGUGAUACGUUCCCGGGCAUUGUACACACCGCCCGUCACGCCAUGGGAGUCGGUAGCACCCGAAGCCGGUGGCCCAAUCCUGCUUGCAGGAGGGGAGCCGUCGAAGGUGAGACC